GGGACACGUGGUAUCCUGUCUGAAUAUGGGGGGACCAUCCUCCAAGGCUAAAUACUCCUGACUGACCGAUAGUGAACCAGUACCGUGAGGGAAAGGCGAAAAGAACCCCGGCGAGGGGAGUGAAAAAGAACCUGAAACCGUGUACGUACAAGCAGUGGGAGCACCUUCGGGUGUGACUGCGUACCUUUUGUAUAAUGGGUCAGCGACUUAUAUUCUGUAGCAAGGUUAACCGUAUAGGGGAGCCGCAGGGAAACCGAGUCUUAACUGGGCGUUAAGUUGCAGGGUAUAGACCCGAAACCCGGUGAUCUAGCCAUGGGCAGGUUGAAGGUUGGGUAACACUAACUGGAGGACCGAACCGACUAAUGUUGAAAAAUUAGCGGAUGACUUGUGGCUGGGGGUGAAAGGCCAAUCAAACCGGGAGAUAGCUGGUUCUCCCCGAAAGCUAUUUAGGUAGCGCCUCGUGAAUUCAUCUUCGGGGGUAGAGCACUGUUUCGGCUAGGGGGUCAUCCCGACUUACCAACCCGAUGCAAACUACGAAUACCGAAGAAUGUUAUCACGGGAGACACACGGCGGGUGCUAACGUCCGUCGUGAAGAGGGAAACAACCCAGACCGCCAGCUAAGGUCCCAAAGUCAUGGUUAAGUGGGAAACGAUGUGGGAAGGCACAGACAGCCAGGAUGUUGGCUUAGAAGCAGCCAUCAUUUAAAGAAAGCGUAAUAGCUCACUGGUCGAGUCGGCCUGCGCGGAAGAUGUAACGGGGCUAAACCAUGCACCGAAGCUGCGGCAGCGACACUAUGUGUUGUUGGGUAGGGGAGCGUUCUGUAAGCCUGCGAAGGUGUGCUGUGAGGCAUGCUGGAGGUA
Molecule: ribosomal RNA, 860 nt
Filed under: Klebsiella pneumoniae
Lineage: Bacteria; Pseudomonadati; Pseudomonadota; Gammaproteobacteria; Enterobacterales; Enterobacteriaceae
Description: partial 23S ribosomal RNA
Rfam family: Bacterial large subunit ribosomal RNA
Source: RNAcentral